RNAcentral lists this unclassified non-coding RNA (21 nucleotides) under Mus musculus (house mouse). RNAcentral describes it as "oocyte_clustered_small_RNA13257". Lineage: Eukaryota; Metazoa; Chordata; Mammalia; Rodentia; Muridae. The record is from RNAcentral.
AUGUCCUUCCCAACCAUGCAC